AUCCUGGCUCAGAUUGAACGCUGGCGGCAUGCCUAACACAUGCAAGUCGAACGGCAGCACAGCAGUAGCAAUACUGUGGGUGGCGAGUGGCGGACGGGUGAGGAAUACGUCGGAAUCUGCCCAGUCGUGGGGGAUAACUAGCCGAAAGGUUAGCUAAUACCGCAUACGACCGAGAGGUGAAAGCGGGGGACCGCAAGGCCUCGCGCGAUUGGAUGAGCCGACGUCGGAUUAGGUAGUUGGUGAGGUAAUGGCUCACCAAGCCUACGAUCAGUAGCUGGUCUGAGAGGACGAACAGCCACACUGGAACUGAGACACGGUCCAGACUCCUACGGGAGGCAGCAGUGGGGAAUUUUGGACAAUGGGGAGCAAUCCUGAUCCAGCAAUGCCGCGUGUGGGAUGACGGGGCUUUGCCUUGUAAACCACUGUCGGACGGGACGAGAAGAGGUAAGAACCUCUGGGACGGUACCGUCAAAGGAAGGAUCGGCUAACUACGUG
RNAcentral lists this ribosomal RNA (495 nucleotides) under uncultured bacterium. RNAcentral describes it as "bacterial SSU rRNA". It matches the Rfam family "Bacterial small subunit ribosomal RNA", at positions 16 to 507 of the family's 1533-position model. The record is from RNAcentral.